Molecule: ribosomal RNA, 396 nt
Filed under: uncultured bacterium
Lineage: Bacteria
Description: partial 16S ribosomal RNA
Rfam family: Bacterial small subunit ribosomal RNA
Source: RNAcentral
AUACGUAUGGAGCAAGCGUUAUCCGGAUUUACUGGGUGUAAAGGGAGCGUAGACGGCAUAGCAAGUCUGAAGUGAAAUCCCAUGGCUUAACCAUGGAACUGCUUUGGAAACUGCCAGGCUAGAGUGCAGGAGAGGUAAGCGGAAUUCCUAGUGUAGCGGUGAAAUGCGUAGAUAUUAGGAGGAACACCAGUGGCGAAGGCGGCUUACUGGACUGUAACUGACGUUGAGGCUCGAAAGCGUGGGGAGCAAACAGGAUUAGAUACCCUGGUAGUCCACGUUGUAAACGAUGAUUACUAGGUGUUGGGGACCAAAGGUCCUCGGUGCCGCCGCAAACGCAUUAAGUAAUCCACCUGGGGAGUACGUUCGCAAGAAUGAAACUUAAAGGAAUUGACGGGG